This 252-nucleotide ribosomal RNA is filed under the name uncultured bacterium. RNAcentral's name for it is "partial 16S ribosomal RNA". It matches the Rfam family "Bacterial small subunit ribosomal RNA", at positions 524 to 776 of the family's 1533-position model. The record is from RNAcentral.
UACGUAGGGGGCUAGCGUUGUCCGGAAUCACUGGGCGUAAAGGGCGCGCAGGCGGAAAUGCAAGUCAGAUGUAAAAGGCAGUAGCUUAACUACUGUAAGCCUUUGAAACUGCAUAUCUUGAGAAGAGGAGAGGUAGGUGGAAUUUCUAGUGUAGCGGUGGAAUGCGUAGAUAUUAGAAAGAAUACCGGUGGCGUAGGCGACUUACUGGGCUCAUUCUGACGCUGAGGAACGAAAGCGUGGGUAGCAAACAGG